Molecule: long non-coding RNA, 2098 nt
Organism: Equus caballus (horse)
Lineage: Eukaryota; Metazoa; Chordata; Mammalia; Perissodactyla; Equidae
Source: Ensembl
GUCAUAAUGUCCAGCCCACACUCAGUGGGAGAAAUUACACAAGGGCAUGGACACUUGGAGGCUGUGAUCAUCGGGAGCCAUCGGGGGGGCUACCACGUCUACUAUGUGCAGGCGCUAUGCUUUCCUGGAGAUGCCACAGUAAAUGAGAUGCAAUCCCUAUCUUCAAGGAACUCUUAAGGAAGUUCAAGUUGUGGGGGAUAUGGAGAAGUAAACUGGAGGUGUCACAUGUGCUACGACAAAGUUACAGAGGCUAUGUGAGCACAGAGGCAGGGAGACCUACCCUGGACCAGGAAUGAAAGCUCCUGUGUGGGCCGUGUCAAGUCCUGAGCUUUCCAGAUGAUCAGGACUGGGCCACCGGGGCCAGCACCAUUUCAUUGACUGGAACCACGCUAGUUUUAAAUGACUUUGCCAGCCCAGCGCUGGGAUUCCAAAGUCCUCCAGAGAGGGAAUGAGAGCUUCAUACUGUUCCCAUAUUGUCAAGAGCAAAACUGAGAUCAAAGAUAAAGAAAACAGCACGGAAGCAUUGGGCAUUAUCACAGCAUGGCAGGGAGAGGAUCUGUUCUGGGUGAUAAACAGCUGGGACCAGGGAGUAUCCAGAGAAACUUCUUCACUGCUGGCAAGAGGAUAAAGUGACCCCUUCAUAUAUCAAGAAACAUCUUAGGAAACAAAGGGGAGAUGAUAUCAGAGAGACCAAAAUUCAUCUGAGUACACUGACUCAUCUGAAAGGGAACAACUGAAGGAGCCUCGAAAGGGAAUUUGAUACUGAAAAGACUGAGUGUCUAAGUGGAUGUUUUCCAAGGGAUGGGACUGAAAGAGUAUUAUUACUCAAGCCUCAGUUUUCCCAGUUACCUAGCUGGGCAGGGGCCCACGAAGAGCAGAGCGUUUUUGAGGAAUAAGCUUCAUUUUCCCUGCACGACUGAUUGUGGCGUAACAGAACAACCCUGAUACAUACGGAUAAAAAUAAAGUCAUCAACUUUCAAAUACUUUCAUCUUAAGUGAACAGCUUUAAAAUGGUCAUGAAGCCUUUUGAAACUUUUCAGUUGUCUUUUGAAUCUUUUACAGAAAUACCCUGAGGACAAGCCUCCUUCUUGUACUGUCCAUCUGGUAUCCAGCAAAGAGGCAGUAAGGGACCCUGAGCGCCUACAGCACAGCAGUCAAGCAGAUAUGGGAACUUCAGCACCACUUGGGGACACUAGUCCAAAUAUUGAUGAGCAAAAGGCCCUGAGAAAUUUAGUUUUUGGGGAACAUUUCCCAGUGGGAGGGCUCAAAGUCUCUGGAAUUCAAGGCUUCUGCAGACAGUGACAUCCCUUCCUCUGGGGAUGCUUUCUGAAUAAGGGAGAUAUGUACUCAUGUGACCAAGACGAUUUUGGUGCAGAUUGUUAUGGGCACAGGGGAACGGCCUAGGUGACCUUCCAGGGGUCUCAUACCUAACCCGUGAUUCUGUAAGUAAUGAGUUGACAGAAAAUUGCAUACUGUAUUUGGUCUGCCAUCUGCUGUUUCCCCAAUGCUGGCUGAUAAAGGCAUGGCUGUGUAGGGAGAAGGUGAGCUGUAAUUAAUUAUCUAUGGCAUUGAUGAAUUUCUUGUAAGCUAUUCCCCUGCUAAUCCAGCAAUAUAGCUGCAUCCAUCCCCCCCUCCCAGUGUUAACGGUCUAUUUAUGGACUUGGCUCCUUAAUUAAAUGUUUCAUUUGCAAGAAAAUGGUUCCUAGGAAAAUCCAAGCUCUCUUUAUGUGCCUGCAAUCGGCUAUUGCAGACAUUACAUAAGAGAUUAGUCCAUGUUGGCCUGCUGCUCUUAGCUUUCUGGAUAAUCUAAUGUAUUAUGUUUCUGGUAUAUGUAAAUUACUAAAUGUAAUAUUCUUCAAUAUGCCUGCUGAAUGAAGCCAAAUGUAUUGUGGGCAUAAUUUUAAUUAUUUAUAUGCUAUAAAAAUGGAAGAAAUCAGAAUUACAGAAAUAGGGUUCUAAAACCCCUCUGUUUUUCUUUUGGGCAACAGUUUAAUCAGAUUAAAACCAUAAUUGUUUUUAAACUCUUGCCUCACAGUUGUUUUGGCCAUCUCUUUUGUCAGCAUGUGGCUGUGCCCCCAUGAAGCUAUUUAAGGUCAAC